Molecule: ribosomal RNA, 239 nt
Filed under: uncultured Lactobacillus sp.
Lineage: Bacteria; Bacillati; Bacillota; Bacilli; Lactobacillales; Lactobacillaceae
Description: partial 16S ribosomal RNA
Rfam family: Bacterial small subunit ribosomal RNA
Source: RNAcentral
AACCUGCCCAAGAGAUCGGGAUAACACCUGGAAACAGAUGCUAAUACCGGAUAACAAUAGAUGAUGCCUAUCAACUGUUUAAAAGAUGGUUCUGCUAUCACUCUUGGAUGGACCUGCGGUGCAUUAGCUAGUUGGUAGGGUAACGGCCUACCAAGGCGAUGAUGCAUAGCCGAGUUGAGAGACUGAUCGGCCACAUUGGGACUGAGACACGGCCCAAACUCCUACGGGAGGCAGCAGUC